Long non-coding RNA from Halichondria panicea, 1512 nucleotides. RefSeq lists it as uncharacterized. NCBI's taxonomy places the organism in Eukaryota, Metazoa, Porifera, Demospongiae, Suberitida, Halichondriidae. The record is from RefSeq and is a predicted model, not a curated record. The transcript has 3 exons.
UUGCUCUUUUGCUAACACUGUCGUGUUCCGUUAACGGGUUGUACCGUCUCAAUACCUAUAUCCUCUCAGCCCUGCUCUACCGACAUCUCUCUCAACAAAGCAGGUUCUUUGUUCGUGUCGUGAUUUAUAAAAAUUAAUGGUAGAUCUUUUCGCACACACGUAUACUCGGGCUCAACUAUCCGUCUCUCUACUAUCUCUUAGCUCUCUCAUGUUCAUGUCUUGAUUAUAAUUUAUAUAAUGUGUCAGUUGUACAAUGUGAAGGAAGUACCGUAAUUGAUGUAAUUACAGCGCCACCAUAAUUUAAGCGCCACAUCAGCAUCAGCAUAAUUUUUUAGGCCCUAAAAAAGCGCCAACCGUUGCUGGAAUUAUUUUUUUCUGGCACUUAUAAAAAGGCUUGUUUGAGACAUCAAGACAAUCAUCCUGCAUCUUUGACUUUCUUCACUUCUAAACAGUUGUCUAACCCAUAGCUACAGUCAAUGAAUGUUGUUCACGAGUCACUCAGCUCUCAACGGUGCCAUAGCUACAGUCAAUGAAUGUUGUUCACGAGUCACUCAGCUCUCAACGGUGCAGCUAGCAAGUGAAACUGAGCUAGACCACGCCCAUUUUCUCUACAAAUUCUAUACUAGCUGUUGAACAUAAGCGCCACCAUAAUUUAGGCGCCAGCUUGGGCUGAACGCAAUUUUUUGUGUUAUAAAGACGUGCCACUCAGAAGUGGAAUUAAUUUUUUCUGGCGCUGUAAUUACAUCAAUUACGGUACAGGGUUCCCAUUAUUACUGUUUGAAGUGGCUUGCCCCAGCCUGCGAUCUAGUUGCAAUAUCCUAUGGUCUUAGGUGUAGACAUGUCGUUACCUUGCUUAUUUUGCUACCCAGAACUCAAUGGAAUCGAAAACGAAAACGAAAACAAACAAUCUGGAUGCGGAUAAAAUAAUUGUUGCUCUAGAUGAUGAAUGUGAGAUUGACCCAGUGUUAUACAUUGUCUUCUCAUCGUCAGAGAUUCUUCACAAUUGUUUGGGCCCAGCGAUUGUUGCACCUCCAGAUGAAGACGCAAUUCCGUCACCACAGCAAGGUGAUGUUUGACCCCUUUGUAUUUGCAGGUGCAACUGCUGCACAAAGUGUAUAAGCCGUGACGACUUGGGUGAACGCUGUUGCCAAAAAGGCUAUUGGCAUCAGUGCGUACAAAAAUUGUCUGGCAACAGAUCAACAUGGCAUACCCAUUACACCGGGGUUACAUCUUGACAAAUUACGGUGUCACCAUGUUUCAGAUAUCCUUACCUACCUGAACCGGUAUACUACCUGGAUGCUUAACUGCAAGUUGGCAAACCUGUCCAUGGGAUCUGUGUGCCAAGUUACAUGAUCAGAAUCCAAAAUGAAAAUCACAAAAUGUUCUGUUGGCCCAUUUUAACUGUGAAUCCUUUAACUGAACCAAAAAUGUAUAAAAUGUUUUUUAACUUUUUGUUGUAAAUAAUCACAGAAACCAGUGGUUAAUUAUUUGAAGUUGAAAAAUUUAAUUAUG